GGGCCUGUGGUCUAGAGGUAUGAUUUUCGCUUCGCAUGUGAAAGGUCCGGGGUUCAAUUCCCCGUAGGUCCA
This 72-nucleotide transfer RNA is filed under the name Ophiocordyceps sinensis CO18. RNAcentral describes it as "tRNA-Ala (CGC) (tRNA-Ala-CGC-1-1)". It matches the Rfam family "tRNA". From Rfam's summary of the family: Transfer RNA (tRNA) molecules are approximately 80 nucleotides in length. Their secondary structure includes four short double-helical elements and three loops (D, anti-codon, and T loops). Further hydrogen bonds mediate the characteristic L-shaped molecular structure. tRNAs have two regions of fundamental functional importance: the anti-codon, which is responsible for specific mRNA codon recognition, and the 3' end, to which the tRNAs corresponding amino acid is attached (by aminoacyl-tRNA synthetases). tRNAs cope with the degeneracy of the genetic code in two manners: having more than one tRNA (with a specific anti-codon) for a particular amino acid; and 'wobble' base-pairing, i.e. permitting non-standard base-pairing at the 3rd anti-codon position. The record is from RNAcentral. Lineage: Eukaryota; Fungi; Ascomycota; Sordariomycetes; Hypocreales; Ophiocordycipitaceae.